CCCCUGUCAGGGUCACACCUGGAGAGUUUCUAGUACUCUACUAGUCUCGGCUACAGGAGGGAGAGUCAAGCAGAGGCCUAACCAUUCCAUUCCUAGCUUGGGCAGUGGCUAGUGAUGGAAGGCAAUUUGUUACAAGU
Ornithorhynchus anatinus (platypus) is the source of this 137-nucleotide small nucleolar RNA. The record is from RefSeq and is a predicted model, not a curated record. Lineage: Eukaryota; Metazoa; Chordata; Mammalia; Monotremata; Ornithorhynchidae.